AUGUUUGUUAAAUGUACGAGGACUUGGGAGAUCUUCCAUGAAAAGCUGGCGCCUUUUCCAAAGGGGUCUUCGCCGUGUUCUUUUGGGGAAACGGACUCAACGCUGCCUUCUGUCUGCGUGCCUGCGGUCCCCAACGGCAGGAAGACCUGUGGCCGCAGUGCAGAGGAUGCUGUGACACUCACCGUGUUUUCUCUUGUCUCAUCACAGGUGGACGGGGCGGACGAUGAAAUCUCUUGGAGCUUGGAGAGUGUGUGUGAGAGCGACCUCGCUGACAGCAACCUCGCAGAAAGUGAUCGAGACUCGGUGGCGGAGCGCACCGACUGCCGCCAGGAUGAGGAGGCUGCAGACUGUUGCUUUGGGAGCAAAGGAUCGUGCUUCAAAAGUCUGAGGACAAGUUUGUCCUCUGCGAGCUUGGCUAGAAUAAUUCCCCGUGGCCACACAACAGGGUGCACCUUGCCACUGAGCCAGAUGAAGGAACUCACGACGACGAUGUUGUGGAGGCCGGUGGGAGUGAGAAGACUGAGGCAAAGCCCCGGGCUGGGGGACAUGAGGACGAGGCGGCCCCAGUACCUGAGGUGGAGGUGGAGGAGGAGGCGGGCCAGCCCCGUGAAAAUGGCCAGGAGGAGUCCUUAG
RNAcentral lists this long non-coding RNA (633 nucleotides) under Sus scrofa (pig). RNAcentral's name for it is "lncRNA (ENSSSCG00070010993.1)". The record is from RNAcentral. Lineage: Eukaryota; Metazoa; Chordata; Mammalia; Artiodactyla; Suidae.